GCCCACAGUUGGGGACCUUCCUAGUCUGGCUCCUGGGGCUUGAGAAGGAGUCACUGUGCAGCAUCAAAUGGGGAGAUUUUCUUUCCAGUGUCAGUAUUUGACAGUGGCUUUAGAUUGGCCAGGUAGCA
RNAcentral lists this small nucleolar RNA (128 nucleotides) under Procavia capensis (Cape rock hyrax). Its description in RNAcentral is "Small nucleolar RNA SNORA56 (ENSPCAG00000020389.1)". The record is from RNAcentral. Lineage: Eukaryota; Metazoa; Chordata; Mammalia; Hyracoidea; Procaviidae.